ACGAACGCUGGCGGCGUGCCUAAUACAUGCAAGUAGAACGCACAGUUUAUACCGUAGCUUGCUACACCAUAGACUGUGAGUUGCGAACGGGUGAGUAACGCGUAGGUAACCUGCCUGGUAGCGGGGGAUAACUAUUGGAAACGAUAGCUAAUACCGCAUAAUAUUAAUUAUUGCAUGAUAAUUGAUUGAAAGAUGCAACUGCAUCACUACCAGAUGGACCUGCGUUGUAUUAGCUAGUAGGGGAGGUAACGGCUCACCUAGGCGACGAUACAUAGCCGACCUGAGAGGGUGCUCGGCCACACUGGGACUGAGACACGGCCCAGACUCCUACGGGAGGCAGCAGUAGGGAAUCUUCGGCAAUGGACGCAAGUCUGACCGAGCAACGCCGCGUGAGUGCAGAAGGUUUUCGGAUCGUAAAGCUCUGUUGUAAGAGAAGAACGGGUGUGAGAGUGGAAAGUUCACACUGUGACGGUAUCUUACCAGAAAGGGACGGCUAACUACGUG
RNAcentral lists this ribosomal RNA (504 nucleotides) under uncultured bacterium. Its description in RNAcentral is "partial 16S ribosomal RNA". It matches the Rfam family "Bacterial small subunit ribosomal RNA", at positions 29 to 507 of the family's 1533-position model. The record is from RNAcentral.